RNAcentral lists this ribosomal RNA (406 nucleotides) under uncultured Bifidobacterium sp. RNAcentral describes it as "bacterial SSU rRNA". It matches the Rfam family "Bacterial small subunit ribosomal RNA", at positions 173 to 597 of the family's 1533-position model. The record is from RNAcentral. Lineage: Bacteria; Bacillati; Actinomycetota; Actinomycetes; Bifidobacteriales; Bifidobacteriaceae.
CUCCAGUUGAUCGCAUGGUCUUCUGGGAAAGCUUUCGCGGUAUGGGAUGGGGUCGCGUCCUAUCAGCUUGACGGCGGGGUAACGGCCCACCGUGGCUUCGACGGGUAGCCGGCCUGAGAGGGCGACCGGCCACAUUGGGACUGAGAUACGGCCCAGACUCCUACGGGAGGCAGCAGUGGGGAAUAUUGCACAAUGGGCGCAAGCCUGAUGCAGCGACGCCGCGUGAGGGAUGGAGGCCUUCGGGUUGUAAACCUCUUUUAUCGGGGAGCAAGCGAGAGUGAGUUUACCCGUUGAAUAAGCACCGGCUAACUACGUGCCAGCAGCCGCGGUAAUACGUAGGGUGCAAGCGUUAUCCGGAAUUAUUGGGCGUAAAGGGCUCGUAGGCGGUUCGUCGCGUCCGGUGUGA